Long non-coding RNA from Zeugodacus cucurbitae (melon fly), 1488 nucleotides. RefSeq lists it as uncharacterized. The transcript is spliced from 2 exons. NCBI's taxonomy places the organism in Eukaryota, Metazoa, Arthropoda, Insecta, Diptera, Tephritidae. The record is from RefSeq and is a predicted model, not a curated record.
UAAGGGUAUUCGUUUAAACGUGUAAUGUUACCCAUCGCAUAAAUUUAUGCAAAUACGCAGUGUGUUACAUGAACGCACUUCAAAUUCUUUGUGUAAAUGCCACUUAUUUAUGUAUUAAACAGCUGUUUGGGUGUCAAAAUAUUAAAAUGCCGAAAGUUAGCGAAAAAGCAAAAUUUAUUCAACUUUGCGAAAAAUCACUAGUAUUUGAUUUGUUAAUGUUGGAGCUGUUUGGAAAACAUGACGAAAUCCAACGCAAAAAGGAAGAUGAAAUUAUGGAAGACUUUAGCUUUGCAUUGGCAGCUGCUGCAUAUUUUAGAUAUGGAUCUACAUUUGUUCAUCAUUCUGUCCCAAAAUCACCCAACUUUUUAAUAGAUGUAUUACCGCAUUUGGAUGAAAACAGGUUUCGAGAAAUUGUGCGAGUCAGCAAAACCACAUUUGAUUUUAUCAUUGAUCUGAUAAAGGAUGACGAAGUGUUCAAUGGUCCACGUUCAUGUAAACAGUUUCCUAUCCAAAUUCAAUUGGCUGUAGUAAUGUACCGACUGGGUUCAUGUGGAGAAGGAGCAACAAUUACUAAAAUUGCUAGUUUGUUUGAUAUUAGCGAUGGUGGAGUAAUACAGGUGAGCUAUUUACAUAUGUAUCGGUUAAAAUUUGUGUUUCAGCUGUAUUUUAAAUUUCUCAAUAGGUCAUGACCAACAGGGUAUUUGAUGCAAUUAUUAAAAGGAAAACUCAGUUUCUGUUUUGGCCGGACCCUGUAGAGCGUAGAGCUUUAGUUGUUCAAACACUCAGUGAGCUACCACAUUGUGUUGGCUACGUAGAUGGAACGGAGAUAAAAUUGGCGGAAAAACCCACUGUAGAUUGCGAAGCAUAUUUUUCUCGCAAGCAUAUAUAUUCACUUAAGGCUCAAUGUGUGUGUGACCACAAACUAGUAAUUCGUCAUAUGGUAUUGGGGUAUCCCGGUAGUGUUCACGACGCUAGGAUAUACAACAAUUGCGAGCUAUCCACAAACGCCACUGAAAUGCUAACAGGAUCAGAGUGGUUAGCUGCAGACAGUGCAUAUAAAUUAACUUCGACCCUUAUUACUCCUUUUAGAAUAAACGCAACGGAAGGCACCUUGAAUCAACGAAUUCUGUUCAACAGAACGUUCAGCCAGUACCGAAUAAGAAUUGAGCAUUGCUUUGGUUUAUUGAAAGAACGUUUUAAUAGCUUGAAAGAACUCAAAAUUCAAAUAAAGAGUGAUAAUUCGGUAAAGUUUGCAUGCCGGUGGAUAUUAGUUUGUGCGAUAUUGCACAAUAUUAUAUUAAAAGAAAACGACGGUGGUUUUGAUGUUGACGAAGAAAGCAUUAGUGAAAACAGUGAAGUCGACGAGCCUGGGGAUCAAAACUUACCAACAGUUGAAGGUGCAUCUAAGCGCCUUUCAUUGUUAUCACUAAUGGAAACUUAAAAAUAAAGUAUUGAAACUCAUGUUUACAUAUCUUUAAAAUCCAUUAA